UUUAUGGAGAGUUUGAUCCUGGCUCAGGAUGAACGCUGGCGGCGUGCCUAAUACAUGCAAGUCGAGCGAACGGACGAGAAGCUUGCUUCUCUGAUGUUAGCGGCGGACGGGUGAGUAACACGUGGAUAACCUACCUAUAAGACUGGGAUAACUUCGGGAAACCGGAGCUAAUACCGGAUAAUAUUUUGAACCGCAUGGUUCAAAAGUGAAAGACGGUCUUGCUGUCACUUAUAGAUGGAUCCGCGCUGCAUUAGCUAGUUGGUAAGGUAACGGCUUACCAAGGCAACGAUGCAUAGCCGACCUGAGAGGGUGAUCGGCCACACUGGAACUGAGACACGGUCCAGACUCCUACGGGAGGCAGCAGUAGGGAAUCUUCCGCAAUGGGCGAAAGCCUGACGGAGCAACGCCGCGUGAGUGAUGAAGGUCUUCGGA
RNAcentral lists this ribosomal RNA (432 nucleotides) under Staphylococcus aureus. Its description in RNAcentral is "bacterial SSU rRNA". It matches the Rfam family "Bacterial small subunit ribosomal RNA", at positions 1 to 422 of the family's 1533-position model. The record is from RNAcentral. Lineage: Bacteria; Bacillati; Bacillota; Bacilli; Caryophanales; Staphylococcaceae.